This 716-nucleotide ribosomal RNA is filed under the name uncultured bacterium. RNAcentral describes it as "bacterial SSU rRNA". It matches the Rfam family "Bacterial small subunit ribosomal RNA", at positions 86 to 800 of the family's 1533-position model. The record is from RNAcentral.
AACUAGAGACCGGCGCACGGGUGCGUAACGCGUAUGCAAUCUACCUUUUGCAGAGGGAUAGCCCAGAGAAAUUUGGAUUAAUACCUCAUAGUAUAACGACUCGGCAUCGAGAUGUUAUUAAAGUCACAACGGCAAAAGAUGAGCAUGCGUCCCAUUAGUUAGUUGGUAAGGUAACGGCUUACCAAGACUACGAUGGGUAGGGGUCCUGAGAGGGAGAUCCCCCACACUGGUACUGAGACACGGACCAGACUCCUACGGGAGGCAGCAGUGAGGAAUAUUGGACAAUGGGCGCAAGCCUGAUCCAGCCAUGCCGCGUGCAGGAUGACGGUCCUAUGGAUUGUAAACUGCUUUUGCACAGGAAGAAACAACGCUACGUGUAGCGUCUUGACGGUACUGUGAGAAUAAGGAUCGGCUAACUCCGUGCCAGCAGCCGCGGUAAUACGGAGGAUCCAAGCGUUAUCCGGAAUCAUUGGGUUUAAAGGGUCCGUAGGCGGUCUUAUAAGUCAGUGGUGAAAUCUCCCCGCUCAACGGGGAAACGGCCAUUGAUACUGUAGGACUUGAAUUAUUAGGAAGUAACUAGAAUAUGUAGUGUAGCGGUGAAAUGCUUAGAGAUUACAUGGAAUACCAAUUGCGAAGGCAGGUUACUACUAAUGGAUUGACGCUGAUGGACGAAAGCGUGGGUAGCGAACAGGAUUAGAUACCCUGGUAGUCCACGC